UACGGAGGGGGCUAGCGUUGUUCGGAAUUACUGGGCGUAAAGCGCGCGUAGGCGGACCUGCAAGUCGGGGGUGAAAGCCCGAGGCUCAACCUCGGAACUGCCUUCGAUACUGCGGGUCUCGAGUCCGGGAGAGGUGAGUGGAAUUCCUAGUGUAGAGGUGAAAUUCGUAGAUAUUAGGAAGAACACCAGUGGCGAAGGCGGCUCACUGGCCCGAUACUGACGCUGAGGCACGAAAGCGUGGGGAGCAAACAGG
Molecule: ribosomal RNA, 253 nt
Filed under: uncultured bacterium
Lineage: Bacteria
Description: partial 16S ribosomal RNA
Rfam family: Bacterial small subunit ribosomal RNA
Source: RNAcentral